CAACGACUCUCGGCAACGGAUAUCUCGGCUCUCGCAUCGAUGAAGAGUAGCGAAAUGCGAUACUUGGUGUGAAUUGCAGAAUCCCGUGAACCAUCGAGUCUUUGAACGCAAGUUGCGCCCGAAGCCGUCAGGCCGAGGGCACGUCUGCCUGGGCGUCACGC
RNAcentral lists this ribosomal RNA (161 nucleotides) under Tiquilia gossypina. RNAcentral describes it as "5.8S ribosomal RNA". It matches the Rfam family "5.8S ribosomal RNA". Rfam says of the family: 5.8S ribosomal RNA (5.8S rRNA) is a component of the large subunit of the eukaryotic ribosome. It is transcribed by RNA polymerase I as part of the 45S precursor that also contains 18S and 28S rRNA. The record is from RNAcentral. Lineage: Eukaryota; Viridiplantae; Streptophyta; Magnoliopsida; Boraginales; Ehretiaceae.